GGGAGGCAGCAGUGGGGAAUAUUGCACAAUGGAGGAAACUCUGAUGCAGCGACGCCGCGUGAAUGAUGAAGGCCUUCGGGUCGUAAAGUUCUGUCCUUGGGGAUGAAGAAGUGACGGUACCUUAGGAGGAAGCCCCGGCUAACUACGUGCCAGCAGCCGCGGUAAU
This 166-nucleotide ribosomal RNA is filed under the name uncultured bacterium. RNAcentral describes it as "partial 16S ribosomal RNA". It matches the Rfam family "Bacterial small subunit ribosomal RNA", at positions 343 to 524 of the family's 1533-position model. The record is from RNAcentral.